CCCACGACCACAUGGUUAAAAGCCAUGCGCUCUACCAGCUGAGCUAAGACGGCAACGGUACCCCGUGGAUAACGUAUUUUCUAAUUCGAUACAUAUCAGUUCCGGAAAACCGGAGGAACCCCAUCCAUGGAGCUGGCGACUCUUCCACCGACGACUCCAAAUCGAUCUCUCCCGCUCGAUUCACCCUUGAAUCGGGCUAUUUCGGCAUGACCAGAGAGGCGGAGGCGCGGAGCCGCGGAGGCCGGAGCGGACGAGCGGUGGAGGUGACGAGGCGUGGUCCGCGUGGAGCUCGGGUUUCUCCGAUCGUCGUCGUCGUCGACCGGUCGUCGUCGUCGUCGACCGUCCGUCCGUCCGAGCUCGGCGGAGUGGUGAAGAGGAGUUCCGACCACCCUAUCAUCGGCCAAGCUAGGUUUUGAGGUACGAUUACUUAGUAUCUUCUUCCGUUCUUCAUUUUGGUUGGGAUUUGCAGAGGAUUAGAGCGGACGAGCGGCGGAGGCAUGGAGCUAGGGUUUCUCCAUCCAAACUCGGCGAAGCGGUGAAACCCUAGUUCUGAGGCAGCCGUCGUGGACGCGUCGUCGACCGUCCAAGCUCGUCGUCGACCGUACUCGACCGUCCAAGCUCGUCGUCGACCGUACUUCAAGGAUUAUUGCAAGUUGAAAGGCCUAAUGAAUGGUUUUGAUCUAAAAAUCCUUGAAGUACGGCAGUAGUGAUGAUAUAGAAAAGCUUGAAAAAACAUUAGAGGCAAUUGUUGAUAGGAAUGCCUGGAGAAAGAGGAUUUUUAAAUAUUCUAAUGUUUUUUGAGUUCAGUUAUACUUGACCAGAAGAAAUGUAAGUUAAACAAGUCCAUCAUCAAUAUUUAAGGCAUUCUGCGGAAUUUGAUUCUUAACAAAUGAUGGCAGCCAGAAUUAUGAUCAUUAGAAGCAAGUGCACAGAAAAAUUCCCCUUUUUUCCUUUCUGAGGGAAUGAAUUAAAGGUCUGUUUUUAUUCUAACAUUCUCAGAGGUCUUAGGUAUAGCAUGUGGAAGAGGAUGGAACUCAGAGAAAGAGAAGAAAUUAGAUUGCUUAUAGAUGAUGGGAGGAUGGCUUCCUCUUGCUCUCCUCCUUCUAUUAUUCUUUCUUCUUUUUCAUCCAUACGUCUGUGUAGAAUCUGUCAUGAAGAGGAGGAAGAGAGCUCCACAAGCAUGGAAUCUCCCUGUGCUUGUUCUGGGACUUUGAAGGUUGUUGAUGGGCUUAUAAUAUAAUUUGAAGAGUGAGGUAGAUUUUAGAAAUAGAAGGGAGAGGAAUCUUCAAUGGAUGGUUCUCCAAAUCAUGCUGAAAAAUGACUAAAAUGAGGAGGAUGCAUUCAGAUGCUCUUUCUCUUUGCUUGCCUCCAUCGUUUAGUCCAUAUACUUUCUUUUACUAAACAAAGUGGCUUAGACUUUAGAUAUUGGUUGAACAAUUAAGUCUUCCAUCUGUUCAUUGAAAGGAGGGGACACUUGUGUCCAAGUCAUCUCUUUGUAUCACACUCUUGACAUGUGCACUUAGCAAUACUACCGGUUUAUGCAUUGUUACAUGUAUUUCCCAGCUCAAUAUUCUUACAAAAUGUAGGUUCAUGUUUAAGGAGGGAUAAUUCUUAGGUAAGCCACGCAGUCUUUUAGAUAAAGUAGUUAAAAAGGCAUACUUGAUAUUAUACCUAUGAAAUUAGCAAAUAAUAAAGGAACUAUAUAUUUUUCAUAUCAUAAUCUAAAUGAUAUCGAACUUCGUUUGCUUGAUUAUGGAUAAAAUUAAGUUCCUUUAUUUAUUUGGCAUGUUUGGAACACAAGUACAUAGAUAUGCCCCCUUGUUGUAUGUGUAUGUAGGGAAAUAAUAAUGCUUUCAAUGCGCGAUGGGACAAAUUUAUGGUGCCUACCAUCUAUGGUUAGUCUGUGCUUUCAGUACUCGUGCCUCUAUAGUGUAGAAUGUGGCAUAGCUUGUCCAGUACAUUUUGUUGUAGCCAAUAGAAUUAGCUCUAUGGGUCCGAGCAUCCUGUGCAACAACACAUCGAUAGGGGUGCAUCAUAUUUUAUAUCCUUGUGCAUUCAGUAGUUUGGAUAAUUGUGGAGGUUAUGGAUGAUCUGCUACAAACCAAGAAGCCACGGAUCCUGUCUGCUACUACUAAAUAUGGGAUUCUAGGACAACCUUGUACUGUGUUACUUGGACAAUCAUGUCCAGCUCCUAGAAUCUUUGUCGAAUACAUAUGUGACUCUUGGAUACUUGUCAACUUUCUUUCCUUUUUUUUUUCUAAUUGCAACUUUUAAGAAUCAUUAGAGUUGGACUCCUCUUAUAAUGAGUUUGACCAACUAUAACAAUGUUAGAAGUGAAAUUUUCUUCUUUUUAAAGAAUGGUUAAGAAUAUGGGUAUGAAAAUAAUUCUGCAGGAUGUGAUCUUCCAAAAACCCUUGAUAGUGUUCUAAAAAGCGGUGCAUAAAGCUGCACAUGUGGAUGUGUUCCCUUGACCACACUGCAUUGCCUAUAUGCAAUUAUAUUAUGCAUUGUGCUGCAUAUGGGCUGAAAAAGCAGUCUGCUUAGCUCUAUGCAGCCGUAUAUGUGGCCCACUUUAUACUGUGCGACUGCUUGUGGCUCAUUUAGCAUUAAGGGCCUACUACGUGGCCCACUUUUAUGCAGGCCUGUGCCACUGAAGCAUGUAUAGGCUGAUAGUUAGGUUCAACGUGUGUUUCAGUUAUGUUAUAACUAUUGCUGUUAGUACUAAAUGCUAGGCAAUAAGCACUAUUUGUUAAUACGUUGUUGUUAUUAAUAUUGAUAUUAUUUACUCAAAAAGAAUAUUACUUCUGUGCUGUCACUUUUAUCAUUGUUAAUAUAUUUCAUUUGUUUUUAUAUAGUUAAAGGAUAUUAAUUGCAUGCAUGCCUGUAUAUGCAGCGAGCAUACUGCGUGCACAAUAUGGUCCGUUGACCGCCUGCUUAUCACAAGUGUCUUUUAAAACACUUAAACUAAUUUGAAAGUUUGGAUGCGAAACAUUCAUAUCAGACGACCUUAAUAAAUAAUCUCUUUUGUUGCUUGCUUUUCUAUAUAUAUAUAUGAGAGAUAACAUUAACCUCUUCUAGGUAUUCCAUAUCUUGUUUACCCCCUUGUCCAGGACACUUGCAGCAUUGGUAGAAAGAUCGUGGCAUUAGGUAUUCCAAAAUUUUGCAUAAUCCUGGGCCAGGCAUGCUAUUUGUGUAUAGCAACUUAGUUACUAGAAGCAAAUGCAAGUGCAGGAGCAGAUUCAGGUGAGGGUGUGGGAACAUAGGUUUCUUAAAACUUCUUAAUAAGGAAGCUGGUGUGAGAACAAGUUUCCAGGGAGAUUUUGAAGCAGGUGCAGCACCCAUAGUGGCAAAUUCUGGCUUCUGAGUUAGCCCGCGGAUGCAACCAUGCAUGUGAACACUCCAGAAAAGAGAUGGAGGUUCAAGAAGCUCUUGUAGAUGUUGGUAUUACAGCAUCGGUCACUAUUCUCGUGAUGGACAAGCUUUCUGCAAAUGUUGUGUUGUAUAAGAGUUUUUGAUAUAUUUUCCUAGAUCCAGGUAAUAUUUGCAAAUCACGACGCCAUUUAAAUCAUUAACUUUCUAUGUCUAUGUUGCGAAUGUUUGUUUCCCUAGAUCCAGAUAAUACAAUGCAACAUCAGGAGGGCGUUUUAAGUCAAAUGGGUUCAUUUGUUUACC
Non-coding RNA from Phoenix dactylifera (date palm), 3672 nucleotides. The record is from RefSeq and is a predicted model, not a curated record. NCBI's taxonomy places the organism in Eukaryota, Viridiplantae, Streptophyta, Magnoliopsida, Arecales, Arecaceae.